RNAcentral lists this ribosomal RNA (403 nucleotides) under uncultured prokaryote. RNAcentral's name for it is "bacterial SSU rRNA". It matches the Rfam family "Bacterial small subunit ribosomal RNA", at positions 355 to 774 of the family's 1533-position model. The record is from RNAcentral.
UAGGGAAUAUUGGACAAUGGGCGAAAGCCUGAUCCAGCAACGCCGCGUGCGCGAUGACGGCCUUCGGGUUGUAAAGCGCUUUUAGCGGAGAUGAGAAAGGACAGUAUACUCUGAAUAAGCAUCGGCGAACUACGUACCAGAAGCCGCGGUAAAACGUAGGAGGCUAGCGUUAUCCGGAUUUAUUGGGCGUAAAGCGCGUGCAGGCGGUCUGACAAGUUGGAUGUGAAAGCUCCUGGCUUAACUGGGAGAGGUCGUUCAAUACUGUUAGACUAGAGAAUGGUAGAGGGAGGUAGAAUUCCGGGUGUAGUGGUGAAAUGCGUAGAUAUCCGGAGGAACACCAGUGGCGGAAGCGGCCUCCUAGACCAUUUCUGACGCUAAGACGCGAAAGCUAGGGUAGCAAACG